RNAcentral lists this unclassified non-coding RNA (298 nucleotides) under plant metagenome. Its description in RNAcentral is "partial contains 5.8S ribosomal RNA, internal transcribed spacer 2, and large subunit ribosomal RNA". The stretch from base 1 to 105 matches the Rfam family "5.8S ribosomal RNA", at positions 50 to 154 of the family's 154-position model. The record is from RNAcentral.
GAAAUGCGAUAAGUAAUGUGAAUUGCAGAAUUCAGUGAAUCAUCGAAUCUUUGAACGCACAUUGCGCCCCCUGGUAUUCCGGGGGGCAUGCCUGUUCGAGCGUCAUUUCACCACUCAAGCCUCGCUUGGUAUUGGGCAACGCGGUCCGCCGCGUGCCUCAAAUCGACCGGCUGGGUCUUCUGUCCCCUAAGCGUUGUGGAAACUAUUCGCUAAAGGGUGUUCGGGAGGCUACGCCGUAAAACAACCCCAUUUCUAAGGUUCACCUCGGAUCAGGUAGGGAUACCCGCUGAACUUAAGC